RNAcentral lists this microRNA (21 nucleotides) under Pan troglodytes (chimpanzee). Its description in RNAcentral is "ptr-miR-595". Its record names the gene ptr-miR-595. Lineage: Eukaryota; Metazoa; Chordata; Mammalia; Primates; Hominidae. RNAcentral also lists the same sequence under 1 other name. The record is from miRBase by way of RNAcentral.
GAAGUGUGCCGUGGUGUGUCU